Molecule: ribosomal RNA, 289 nt
Filed under: uncultured Prevotella sp.
Lineage: Bacteria; Pseudomonadati; Bacteroidota; Bacteroidia; Bacteroidales; Prevotellaceae
Description: partial 16S ribosomal RNA
Rfam family: Bacterial small subunit ribosomal RNA
Source: RNAcentral
AAGUCGAGGGGAAACGACAUCGAAAGCUUGCUUUUGAUGGGCGUCGACCGGCGCACGGGUGAGUAACGCGUAUCCAACCUGCCCACCACUUGGGGAUAACCUUGCGAAAGUAAGACUAAUACCCAAUGAUAUCCCACGAAGGCAUCGGAAUGGGAUUAAAGAUUUAUCGGUGAUGGAUGGGGAUGCGUCUGAUUAGCUUGUUGGCGGGUAACGGCCCACCAAACCUUCGAUGGAUAGGGGUUCUGAGAGGAAGGUCCCCACAUUGGAACUGAGACACGGUCCAAACUCC